UUCAGUUACAGCCUUUCCCCUCUUUCUGCAUGAGCAAAUCCUCCCCGUUCAACCCUUCUUCCAGCCUUCCCAGGUCAGGACGGAAGUCUACCAGUCCCACUCAGCACAGGGUGCUAAGACUCAGUCCUCAGGCAGCGCUUUUCUUGGGUCAAAGCAAGGUCAGCUCUGGAUCUGUCAGCUGAAAGAAGCUGCACCCUAAAAAAACAAAACGAAGGCUGGAGAGAUGGCACAGCUGGUUAAGGUGCUUGCCACCAACCCUGACAACCUGAGCUCUGCCCCCAGGAACUCCACAUGCAUGCUGUGACAUGCUUGUGCCCAUCCCCACCGGUAAACACAUAAGUGUAAUACAGAGUUUUUAAAAAUCCCA
Alexandromys fortis (reed vole) is the source of this 367-nucleotide long non-coding RNA. RefSeq lists it as uncharacterized. NCBI's taxonomy places the organism in Eukaryota, Metazoa, Chordata, Mammalia, Rodentia, Cricetidae. The transcript has 2 exons. The record is from RefSeq and is a predicted model, not a curated record.